Nycticebus coucang (slow loris) is the source of this 2143-nucleotide RNA transcript. It is a transcript of the gene named ADP-ribosyltransferase 5, with no coding region annotated. Lineage: Eukaryota; Metazoa; Chordata; Mammalia; Primates; Lorisidae. The record is from RefSeq and is a predicted model, not a curated record. The transcript has 5 exons.
AAACAGGGGGUGACCUGAGUGUGGAAGAUCCAGAGAGAGGUUCUGGGACAGGGCUGGGCUCUGAGGAUGACAGAGGGCUUUGCCUCUGGUCCAACCCCACUUAAGGGGAAGGGGGAGAGGGUAAAGAUGAGGAAGAGACAGGCCGCUGCUCAGAUGCUGGAGCCCGCGACCCCAUAAGAGGGACGUAUGCAAAUUGUAUGUAAAUCAGCGAGUGCCCGAGCGUUGACCCCUUGGCUGCCCGGACCCCCGCUGGGCUCUCUGUCCCAGCAGUCUGGGGGCAGGGGCCGGCCGGGUCAGGGCCCACUGAGGAAGAAGCGAAGUCUCACAAGUUUCCUUCCCGACCCUGGCCUUGCUCAGGGCGAAAGAGGUUCCUAGAGAAACCCGCUGUCCUUGUGAACGAGAGUUACCUCCUCCAGCCCCUUCCCAGCCACUGCUCCCGCCCACUCCCGUGUGUGUUGUUGGGGAGGAGAGGUGUUGGGUUACCGCUGCGGGGGCUAUAGUUAGCCUCGGGGACUUUGUUUAUUAGCUGGACUCUGGGGACAGCUCAGCCUGCCCCGAGUGUCAACACUCUUUCCUGCUCUCGGCCUCCGCAGUCUCCAGGUGGGUCCUCGUCCCGCACCCCUCUCGGGCGGAGCCAAUACAGCCCCACCUGUACCGUUGCAAAAAGGAUGGGGGACAGGUGCUGAGCGGGGGCGUUUUAGGAGUCUGGAGAGCAGAGACUGGGUGCUGCGCAGAGGUGUGCAGGGGGACAAUCAAAUCCAAGGCCCCGCCCUCCCUUAGGCCCGCCCUUUGUCCCGCCCACGCCCCUCCUGGGUCCCAGUUCUGGACCAGGGACCCCACGCGCAUCUGGAGAAAGGAUCCAGGUCUUCAUCUGAGCCCACGGAAGCCGGGCCCGACCGCCGCAGGUGUCACUCUCAUCCGGACCUGGCCCUCCUACAGCUCCCCCAGGGAUGGUGCUGGCUGCUCUGCUGAUCGCCCUCAGCUGCCUUGGCCUCCACACCCUCUGGCAGGCCCAGGCUGUUCCCAUCCUGCCCCUGGGCCUGGCUCCAGACACCUUUGACGAUGCCUAUGUGGGUUGUUCAGAGGAGAUGGAGGUGAAGGCAGCCUCCCUGCUAAAGGAGGAGAUGACCCACCAUGCCCUGCUGCGGGAAUCCUGGGAGGCAGCCCAGGAGGCCUGGGAGAGCAGGCGACGAGGGCUCACUCUGCCCUCUGGCUUCAAAGCCCAGCAUGGAAUAGCCAUUAUGGUCUAUACCAACUCAUCUAACACCUUGUACUGGGAGCUGAACCACGCUGUGAGGACGGGUGGUGGCUCUCGGGAGCACUACAUGAGGCAUUUCCCCUUCAAGGCCCUACAUUUCUACCUGACCCGGGCCCUGCAGCUGCUGCGGGGCAGUGGAGGCUGCAGCAGGGGAUCUGGGGAGAUAGUGUUCCGAGGUGUGAGUAGCCUUCACUUUGAACCCAAGAGGCUGGGGGACUCUGUCCGCUUGGGCCAGUUUGCUUCCAGCUCCCUGGAUAAGGCGGUGGCCCACAGAUUUGGUAAUGCCACCCUCUUCUCUCUAAGGACUUGCUUUGGGGUCCCUAUCCAGGCCCUGUCUGUCUUUCCUGAGGAGCGUGAGGUGCUGAUUCCCCCCCAUGAAGUCUUCUUGGUCACCAGGUUCUUCCAGGAUAGAGCCCAGAGCCUAGUGACUCUCUGGAGUUAUAAUCAGACCUGCAGCCACUUUAACUGCGCCUACUUGGGUGGGGAGAAGAGAUGGGGCUGUGUGUUUGCACCAGCAGGCGGGCAGCCAGAGUCACCCUCUGAGGGGGCCUCCUCUCUGCUCUCCUGGAAGACCCUGUUCUUGGCCCCUGGGGGGUUCCAGCUGUCAGAAGCCGGGCCCUGAAAGUCCAACACCUGCCACUUAGGAGCCCUGGGAAUUAGUGACCUUCUUAUGAAGAAAGGGGGCUUCAAACAGCCCCAAGAAGCAAGAACAUUGUUUUGGACCCAGCCCUAGCAGCCAUCUCCCCAACCAGGGGUCUAUUUCAGGAGAACAAAGGGGAAGAACUCAAAACAUCAAGACAAGAGAUUCUCACACACUCUGGAGGCAUCUGAUAUCCAGAACAGAAACUUUAUUGAGGCAAGAAAGCAGCAUAGGCUCCUACUAAG